GGAGGGGGCGAGCGUUGUUCGGAAUUAUUGGGCGUAAAGGGCGCGUAGGCGGCUUUCUAAGUCAAAGGUGAAAUCCCUCGGCUCAACUGAGGAACUGCCUUUGAAACUGGAAGGCUUGAGGCCGGGAGGGGGUAGCGGAAUUCCCAGUGUAGCGGUGAAAUGCGUAGAUAUUGGGAGGAACACCAGUGGCGAAGGCGGCUACCUGGACCGGUUCUGACGCUGAUGCGCGAAAGCGUGGGUAGCAAACAGGAUUAGAUACCCUGGUAGUCCACGCUGUAAACGAUGGGUGCUCGGUGUCGCGGGUAUCGACCCCUGCGGUGCCUUAGCUAACGCGUUAAGCACCCCGCCUGGGGAGUACGGUCGCAAGGCUG
Molecule: ribosomal RNA, 371 nt
Filed under: uncultured bacterium
Lineage: Bacteria
Description: bacterial SSU rRNA
Rfam family: Bacterial small subunit ribosomal RNA
Source: RNAcentral